This 393-nucleotide long non-coding RNA is filed under the name Ananas comosus (pineapple). RNAcentral's name for it is "long non-coding RNA (ACOM_LNC039186)". The record is from RNAcentral. Lineage: Eukaryota; Viridiplantae; Streptophyta; Magnoliopsida; Poales; Bromeliaceae.
UUUUAAAAAAAGGGUAUAGAGGCUCAGACUUUAUUUAUAUCGAAUGGUAAGAUAUAGUGCAAAGAAGGGCUACAAGACCAUCAGAAACUAUUUUUGUUGCAUCCGCUCCAGGAAACCCUGGCUUGCUUCAGAUCGAGCUCGGUUCCUUACCAAGUAAAACGGUUUGUUCCAAUCUUUUUCUUGCUUUUAUUCAGCUAAGAGACAGCAAAUCCUGUGGCGGAGGCUUAAGUUAUAGGUUGAAGCAAUGCCAACGGGAAUCAAGAGUUGGUUGCCUACAAAUGAGGCCAUCCAAAACUCUUUACCACUUUUCUCCAACAGAAGCAAAACCUUAAAGGAAAUGGAGAGGAUACAACGAAAACCAAUAAUUCAUGGCCUAGAAACUGGGCUAUCCAG